RNAcentral lists this ribosomal RNA (370 nucleotides) under Biosteres carbonarius. RNAcentral describes it as "partial 16S ribosomal RNA". The record is from RNAcentral. Lineage: Eukaryota; Metazoa; Arthropoda; Insecta; Hymenoptera; Braconidae.
AUGAUCUUUUAAAAAAAAUUAUGCUGUUAUCCCUAAGGUAAUUAAUUUUAAUAAUUUAAAUUUUUAAGUUUUUUUAUUCAAUAAUUAUUGUUUUAUAAAAAAAAAAUUUUUUAAAUUUUUAAAUUACCCCAAUUAAAUUUAUUUAAAAAAAUAAAUAAUUAAAUUUAAUUUUAAUUUUAGUAAAUAAAUAAAAUUCUAUAGGGUCUUGUCGUCUUUUAAAAUAAUUUAAGUUUUUUUACUUAAAUAAAAAUUUAAAAUUUAUUUAAUUGAGACAGUUUAUAUUUCAUUAAAUCAUUCAUUCUAGUUUUUAAUUAAAAAACAAAUUAUUAUGCUACCUUUGUACAGUUAUAAAUUCUGCAGCCAUUUAAUU